This 4508-nucleotide long non-coding RNA is filed under the name Brachypodium distachyon (stiff brome). RNAcentral describes it as "long non-coding RNA (BDIS_LNC002155)". Lineage: Eukaryota; Viridiplantae; Streptophyta; Magnoliopsida; Poales; Poaceae. The record is from RNAcentral.
GAUACGGGUGCGGGUGGCCCGAUCUUUCGAUGAGAUUGGUAACUCUCGAUUUGGGUAGGAGGUGACGUUGACGAUCCGACUACGGUCUAGGAGGCAGCGCCUUAGCAAUCGAUACACCAACUCCAAAGGGUUAUUGAUCACGCGGGGGCACGAUCAACCUGACCACGAAGGUCUUUAUUCCUGCAAGCAAUCGAAGAACAAGCAAGAACAAGAUAAAUAGCGGAUGCAAUCUAAAAUUGCAAAUAUACUAUAUCAAACCAAUGUCUCAACGAGACGAUAAGUUGGGGUUCCGAAAGCGGUAAAACAGGUGGUCUAACCGACACACGGGAUUACACGAAGUAGUAGCGAUGGCUAACUUUUAACUAAACAAAACCCAAGGCUCCUUAGGGGGGCUCAUGGGGUAUAUAAAGGAGGAGGGAGAGAUAUUUUCGUCCACCUUGAGUAUGGAGUCCGAAAUCCAACUCUAUCUCUAACUUUCCUAACAAAUUACAACUCUUUAGAAAACAGAUCCGUCAGCUUGUUUUGUCCGCCACGGUCAGCACGAGUCGAAUCUCUUGAUGGGGCCAGAUCCGUUGGAAAGGUCUUGUAAUUACCUUUCCAACAAGUACUUGUUUGCUUGAUUUGGACUCAGGAUUCGGCAUGGGUGAUUAAAACAAAUUCGGGUCUCCUGGCAGCUCGGACCCGAAUCGGAUUCAACUUUAAUUCGUGAUAUCUUUCUCUAGCAAGCUCCGAAUCAUGUGCCGUUUGAUUUGUUGGAAAGUACACUUGAAAUCCUUCCCUCUCAGCUGCAUGAAUGCUUGAUUCUUGUUGGCCCUCCCGUUCGCCUCCAUCGUAUCUCAUCUUGACCUUGGACUUGAAAAGCUCGACAAGAUGCCUACGUAAUAAAACGAGACAAGAUAAUAGUAGCUCCGCCUCUUCAUAAAUAUGACAAUGAAAACAAUUACUACUUGAAUUCACCUGAUUAUAAAUCUUGUCAAAUAUUAUAGAAUUGAGGGUACCAAAGGUCGUAUCCAUGGUUAGCAUGUCCAUAUCAUCCUCCCUUUCUUGAAAGGAAAGCCGUGCUCGGCGUCGUUUGUGCUGUAAAGAGACUGACAAAAUAGACAAGGUGUGUGCAUGGUAUCUGUAUAUGUCAUCCAUCUUUAUAUAUCUCCUUUCUUGCACAAUUAAUCUUUUAUAACAAAGUCUCAUGAGAUAAUUAGUAAAACAAUCAUGAUGAAUAACAUUCCAGCAAGAAGAUUGACAAUAUUGUUUGCAUUUAUAAGCGAAACGAUUUCUUGUAUUUGGUUUGCACCGCUCACCAUUACACCAUCCCAACAUUGGAGAAUAAUAAUGAAUAGUAUCCAAAUUAGUUACUACAAUAUGCUGAAAUUUAGAGCAAGUCAAAGCACUAAUAUUCAAACAAGCAUGUAAAUAACUAUUUGGCAAAUAAUCAACACCUAUAUUGGAGGUCCUAUCAAAAUGAUUAAGCAUGUGCAAAAAUUUAUUUUCUCCCAAGAGAGGAAAAUUAUCACAAGUAAUGCAAAUCUCAUGCACCAAAAUGUUAUUGUUCACAUCAUGUUGUCCAAUUAAAUGAAUUGUGUAUCCAUGAACAGCAAAAGAUUUCGAAAUUGUUAACUCACACAGUUUAUCCAUUGCAUGCGACAAAUACAUGGGACUAUCAAGUGCAAUAUAACACAAAGAAUUAAUAGGUGGAUCGUUCUCAAUCACUCCAUGUGUAAUUAAGUCGCCACAACCUAAACCAAAUUUAUCUACAUCACUUGUUUCUCCCAAAACAUUAGUUAUUUCCUCACAUGAUUCAUUCUCAUCAAUAUCAAAAUUAAUAUGUGCACUCAAAUCAUUAGAAGAAUUAAUUUCAGCAGUAGGUGCACUCAAAUCAGCAUGUAAAUCAACAAUUUCACAUGGUGCAGAAAAUUCAACGGGUAUCUCAUUUAUUUCAUCACAUGUCUUAUUUUGUUCAGCAACACAAUCAUCUUUAUCAUUACCUUGUAGGCUCAACACGUUUCUUGUACACCUUCUCUCCAAUUUCCUCUCCGCUUCACGAGCAAGAUUAAGCAAACACAAUAGAGAGUCGUAUUUUCCGUAUUCAAUUAUGUAAGAAAUAUCAAAGUUAAGCCCACAAUAAAACCUAUCCAUUUUUCUUUGUUCGGUUUCAUCUAAAUCAGAUCGCAAGGUUAAAAUUUGAAACUCAUGGUAGUAAUCAUCAACAGUUUUAUCAUCUUGUGUCAAACGUCGUAAUUUGGAACGCAACUCAUAAGCAUAACUUGGAGGAACAUAUUUUUCUCUCAUGAUUUUCUUCAUAUCAAUCCAAGUGUGAGGUAUUUUGUUUUCUCUAACUAUCUCACACCACCAUGAUAAUGCAUCAAAACGAAAUUUACUACUAGCAAUUUGGACCUUACGACUAUCUAGUACAUGGAAGCAUGUGAAUUGUUCAGUUAAAGCUAGCUCCCAAUCUAUAUACGUUUCAGCAUCAUUUUUCCCCUCAAAGAAAGGUACACACAAUUUAAUUGUAUUAGAAGGAGUGUUUUGUACCGUUGCCGUGGCAUUAUCAACAAGAGACGUGGAGGAUGGCCGGGGUGAAAAGCACUCAUCGCGGUCACGGAAUAGCAUCGGUCUAGUUGCCAUGCUUCGUGUAAGUCUUGUCAUGGUUAGUAGAAAACAAGAAACAAAUCACAGUAAUAUGUUCCUAUCAACUACUAGGAUGUGGCUACAAGUCGCUCAACUCUCAAGCUAAAAAUCAAGUUCUUACGAGUUCUUACCAUGCAAAACAGGAAGGUGAUGGCCAGCGGCGUAACCAACACCUCCGGAGAUUAAAUGUAUCGAUGCCUCGGUAACAAACCAACCUAGGUGUAGAAUCUGUGGAGCUUGGAGGCUUUUGUGAGUAGCAAGGAAUAGCAAAUAAUCAAAUCAGCAAUGCAAAGUUGAAAAUAUGCUCAAUAAUGCUAGUCCUAGCUGCUGGAGUCGACAAGAACGAAUUACAGAAAUUAACUAAGCCUAGAUACUGAAAAAGGUAUAAAGGAAAGAUCAAAUGAAAGGUAAAACAAGUAAAUCUCUGGGGAAUAUUUUUUUUCUCUUUUUUUUUCUUUUUUUUUUGGCCUUCUGUUUGGCUUCUUAUUCUUUUCUAUUUUUUUUUUCUUUUUAUCCCCAGAAACUCACGCAAAAGAAGUUAAGACCGGAAAGCUGCACGUCGGUCUGUAGGAGAAUAGCAAAGGCUGUAGUAAGGAAAACUCAGAAAAAUAUGAGAAAAUAUGGGUUAGAAGCGUAUCAAAACAAGCUUUCCAACAAGUGCAAGAUCACUCGAAACGGAGGUCGGACGGUGGAGAAAACUGAGAUAUACUGCGCUGCCCCAGUGCCGUAAAACGGGUGCUGAAAUUUGGAGCUCGAAAAGUCCACCUUAGAGGACGAAUUUUAGGGUCAAAGUGCAGGGCUUUGCCCUGGAUAUUUCCUGAUGCGGUUCGUCGUGAGCUUUCCAAAAAGUCCAAGAACGUCCAAAUCCGAGUUGGUAUGCAAAAGAUACGUCCGUUUUACUGAACACGGGUCAAACCCACCCGAAACUAAAAUUCUACUCGGACUCGGGUCCGAAACUGACUCGAACUCUUUCUCUUUUUUUUUUCGUUUUUUUUUCUUUCUUUCUUCCUUUUUUUUCUUUCCCUUUUUUUUUCACAACUUUCCGAACAAUUUGAUCUCUAAACAAAAUUCGAUCUAUUAUGACACACUUUCCAAAAGCACUCUUGAUUGGACUCAGACUCGAACUCGCGGCUGAAAACUAUAACUUUCCGACUCGAUGUAGGACUCGAAGAGGGACUCGGUGUAGGACUGGAAGAAGGACUCGGUGUAGGACUUGAAGAGGGACUCGGUGUAGGACUCGAAGAGGGACUCGGUGGAAGAUAUGGUGGAGGCGGGAGAUUAUGGCGGUGGUGUGGCAGGAAGUUUGGCGGCGGAAGAUUGAUGAAGGAAACCUGCGUCACACGAAGAACAAGAAAACCAAAAGAAAGUUCGAUCUAGUAGAAAAAAUCUGAAAAACGAUCCAAUCUAAUCCAGCAACUCGACACGAUUAAUGCAGCAAAGAUUCAACAAUGCAAAUACUAAAGUGAAAAUUGCAAGGCUCAGAUUGGUUCUAGGACAAGGUAACUAAUUCUAAUUUUUGUUUGGCUUUUUCUGGACGAUAGGUAAAAACAGAUCUAAACUAGGGAUAAACUGGAAAAAUCUCACCGAGCAACCUUAAGCUCUGAUACCACGUGAUACGGGUGCGGGUGGCCCGAUCUUUCGAUGAGAUUGGUAACUCUCGAUUUGGGUAGGAGGUGACGUUGACGAUCCGACUACGGCCUAGGAGGCAGCGCCUUAUCAAUCGAUACACCAACUCCAAAGGGUUAUCGAUCACGCGGAGGCACGAUCAACCUGACCACGAAGGUCUUUGUUCCUGCAAGCAAUCGAAGAACAAGCACGAACAAGAUAAAUAGCGGAUGCAAUCUAAAAUUGCGAAUAUACUAUAUCAAACCAAUGUCUCAACG